UAACAAUCACAUCUUAGCAACGACACUCUUCUCCUCUUAACAACCUGCACCAGUUUACUGCACACCGCCCAGCUCAAAAGCAGCUUCUUCUUCUCCUCCUCCUACUCCUCCUCCAUUUUCUCUCUACACGCUGCCACUGUAAUUCUCCGAGAGUAAUAAUAAGGAAAUUAUAAUUUAUGUAUUUAAAAAAUACAAAAAUUAAGAAAAAGCAAAAGCAAAGUAUAUAUUACAGCUGACACCACACACCCGCACGAAGUCUACUUUCUCCCCCUAUUUUUCUGCUCGUUUCCCGAUGAUAACCACCAACCACCUCCGGUAGUAACGCCUUCUUCCGCUCCGUUCAUGGCCACCGCUGUGGCGCAAAGCGAUGUCGUUUCGCAAACCUUCCGCGCACUGGUGGAGAACGCGGACCGUAAGUUUGCUCGAGUCCGUGACCUUCCGCCGUACGGACACUCACAAAAUCACUACUUUCAGAAGGUAUUUAAGGCUUACAUGCGGCUAUGGAAGUAUCAGCAAGAGAAUAGGUCGAAGCUGGUCGAGGCAGGUCUUAACCGGUGGGAAAUAGGCGAGAUCGCUAGCCGGAUCGGGCAGCUUUAUUUUAAUCAGUAUAUGAGGACUAGUCAAGCGAGGUUUUUGGUUGAAGCGUAUGUGUUCUAUGAAGCGAUUUUGCAUCGAAGGUACUUCGAAGGAGCUAAAACUAAGGAUCUCGGAGUGAGAUUUAAGGAAUUGAGAUUUUACGCGCGGUUUUUGCUUGUUUCUCUGAUUUUGAACCGGACCGAGAUGGUUCAAUUGCUUGUCGACAAGUUUAGAGCCCUGGUUGAUGAUAGCAAGUUAAAUUUCCGGGAAACAAAUUUCAAAGAGUGGAAACUUGUAGUACAAGAAAUUCUCCACUUUAUGGAAGUUGAUACUGCCUUUUCAAAUGUCCGACCUUUGCGUUAUUGUGUUCUGUUUGAUUCACAUCCAACUUCUCGUCCUUAUGUGGCCCGUUUCCAUGCAAGGAAGGUCCUCAAGUUUAAAGAUGCAAUCCUCACAAGCUAUCACCGGAAUGAGGUUAAAUUUGCAGAAAUUACUCUGGACUCUUAUAGAAUGCUGCAGUGUUUGGAAUGGGAGCCAAGCGGAUCUAUGUACCAAAAGCGUCCAGUUGAAUCAGUCUACCAAAAACGUCCAGUUGAUUCAUAUGAGAAUGGCAAUGCAACUGAUCAUUCUGGAGCUUCUGGACUAAUAGAUAUAAACUUGGCUGCUGAUUUGACUGAUCCAACUUUACCACCAAAUCCUAGGAAAGCUGUUCUUUAUCGUCCUUCUGUGACACAUUUGUUAGCGGUUAUGGCAACAAUUUGUGAGGAGCUCCCUGCAGAAAGCAUUAUGCUAAUAUAUCUAUCAGCCUCAGGGAAGGCUGGUCAAAUUAAUGUUUCUCAGAUGGAAAACUCUGGAGGAUCAAGGAAGUCCUCAAAACCGAGAGUUGUUUCUGGAACAUCUAGUGAACAGAGCAGUUCUUCAUCUGAAUCUCUUGCUAACGGGAAGCGAGAGUCAAGUGAAUAUCAUGAUAAUUAUCUGUUGUUAGGCCCCAGGGGAGCUGGUGGUUCAAAUGCCCUUUAUCCUGGCGAUAUAAUUCCUUUUACUAGAAGACCACUUUUCUUGAUUAUUGAUAGCGACAACAGCCAUGCAUUCAAGGCAGGUCUUACAUGGUGCAGAAAGGGGAGAGCCAGCUGCCUUGCUGCUUUCUCCCUUGAAGCCAGCAUUCAAGAACCUAUCUGGUGUUGACAGAACACAAAAUGGAAGUCAGUUUACCUUUUUCUUGACUGCUCCCCUACAAGCAUUUUGCCAGAUGGUUGGCCUCUCAUCUGGUGAUGCUGAUACAGAUGUUUAUAAUGACGCUGAGGAGAUACUCUCCAAUGCCUUCUCUGAGUGGGAAGUUAUUCUGUGCACAUCAAAAAGCCUGGAUCUCGUUUGGGCACAAGUGUUAUCUGACCCAUUUCUGCGGCGGCUUAUUCUAAGAUUUAUAUUCUGCCGGUCUGUUUUAUCUGCCUUCUGUUCUCCAAGAGAUAGUGAGCAAUAUAUCCCUGUUUGCCUGCCCCAUCUUCCUAGCCCCGUCUCUCCUAGCUCUGAUGUUGUGUGUUCAGCUGUCCGAAGACUUGCAAAUCACUUCAAGACUGCCCAUGACUUUCACUUUGAUGACAUGUAAUUAGGAUUACAAAGUAUUGAAAGAAGUUAGAUGGGUAAAAUGCAGGCUUUAGGCACUCAAUUUCCAUUUAUUCAAUGAGAUAAAACGACAACACAAAUUUGGCCAGUUGGCUUUUACGAGCACUUAAACAGCAACAUAUAUAGCGGUGGAGCCUAAACUGGAAAAGUACUGGAUUUUCACAAAGCAUGGUUGCUUGUGCUUGUUUUAUUGCCUUGCCAACCUUUCAGUUUGUGUGCUGAAAAUGCAUACUGGUUUCCUGUUGUGCUUAGCUGGAUGCUUUUUGAUUUGCAGGUGUGUAACUAUAAUUUUAGUUCUUUAGGUGCUGAUUGGUGUAUAAUCUAAUUGUUUGUAUGCUUUAUUAGAGCUGUUCCCAACGGUGUUAGUCCUUUUUUGUACCUUUGUAAAAGAAAAUGAGUUAGUCAAAAUGGGAUGUGUAUUUUUUUUUUUUUUUUUCCUAUAGUGAUAAUUAUUUCAUAUGUUACUGGAGAAAGCUGCUAAAGAGGCAGAUGUAAAUUGAGUACUGAGAUUUCGAGAAUACCUGGAGAAUAGUUGUACUAUGUUAUAAGCUUGUCAUAAUCUGUUUUCUUCUCUCUUCUUAA
Non-coding RNA from Jatropha curcas, 2781 nucleotides. The record is from RefSeq and is a predicted model, not a curated record. Lineage: Eukaryota; Viridiplantae; Streptophyta; Magnoliopsida; Malpighiales; Euphorbiaceae.